GUCUACAGCCGUGCCACCCUGAACUGAUCUUGGAAGCUAAGCAGGGUUGGGCCUGAUUAGUACUUGGAUGGGAGACCACCUAGGAAGACCAGGUGCUGUAGGCA
Molecule: ribosomal RNA, 104 nt
Filed under: Pteropus alecto (black flying fox)
Lineage: Eukaryota; Metazoa; Chordata; Mammalia; Chiroptera; Pteropodidae
Source: RNAcentral